UACGAAGGGGGCUAGCGUUGUUCGGAAUUACUGGGCGUAAAGGGCGCGUAGGCGGUACUUCAAGUCAGGCGUGAAAGCCCCGGGCUCAACCUGGGAACCGCGCUUGAGACUGGAGAACUAGAGUUCGGGAGAGGAUGGUGGAAUUCCCAGUGUAGAGGUGAAAUUCGUAGAUAUUCGGAAGAACACCAGUGGCGAAGGCGACUCACUGGACACGUAUUGACGCUGAGGUGCGAAAGCGUGGGGAGCAAACAGG
RNAcentral lists this ribosomal RNA (253 nucleotides) under uncultured bacterium. Its description in RNAcentral is "partial 16S ribosomal RNA". It matches the Rfam family "Bacterial small subunit ribosomal RNA", at positions 524 to 776 of the family's 1533-position model. The record is from RNAcentral.